UAACGCGUAGGUAACCUGCCUUGUAGCGGGGGAUAACUAUUGGAAACGAUAGCUAAUACCGCAUAACAAUGGGUGACUCAUGUCAUUUAUUUGAAAGGGGCAAAUGCUCCACUACAGGAUGGACCUGCGUUGUAUUAGCUAGUAGGUGAGGUAACGGCUCACCUAGGCGACGAUACAUAGCCGACCUGAGAGGGUGAUCGGCCACACUGGGACUGAGACACGGCCCAG
Molecule: ribosomal RNA, 228 nt
Filed under: uncultured bacterium
Lineage: Bacteria
Description: partial 16S ribosomal RNA
Rfam family: Bacterial small subunit ribosomal RNA
Source: RNAcentral